This is a small nuclear RNA of Phyllostomus discolor (pale spear-nosed bat), 163 nucleotides long. RefSeq annotates it as U1 spliceosomal RNA. The record is from RefSeq and is a predicted model, not a curated record. NCBI's taxonomy places the organism in Eukaryota, Metazoa, Chordata, Mammalia, Chiroptera, Phyllostomidae. The transcript has a single exon.
AUCGUUACCAGGCAGGGAACAUACUAUGAUCACGAAGUUGGUUUUCCCAGGGUGCAGUUUAUCCACUGCUCUCUGGAUGUGCUGACCCCUGCAAGCUCCCCAAAUGUGGGAAACUCCACUACAUCAUUUCUGACAGUGAAGAACUGUGUUUGCACUCUCCCUG